This 406-nucleotide ribosomal RNA is filed under the name uncultured bacterium. RNAcentral's name for it is "partial 16S ribosomal RNA". It matches the Rfam family "Bacterial small subunit ribosomal RNA", at positions 30 to 526 of the family's 1533-position model. The record is from RNAcentral.
AUUGAACGCUGGCGGCAGGCCUAACACAUGCAAGUCGAACGAGUGGCGGACGGGUGAGUAAUGUCUGGGCAACUGCCUGAUGGAGGGGGAUACCUACUGGAAACGGUAGCUAAUACCGCAUACCAUCGGAUGUGCCCCGAUGGGAUUAGCUAGUAGGUGGGGGAAAGGCUCACCUAGGCGACAAUCCCUAGCUGGUCUGAGAGGAUGACCGGCCACACUGGAACUGAGACACGGCCCAGACUCCUACGGGAGGCAGCAGUGGGGAAUAUUGCACAAUGGGCGCAAGCCUGAUGCAGCCAUGCCGCGUGUAUGAAGAAGGCCUUCGGGUUGUAAAGUACGUUCAGCGGGGAGGCGGUACUCGCAGAAGAAGCACCGGCUAACUCCGUGCCAGCAGCCGCGGUAAUAC